This is a non-coding RNA of Aspergillus ibericus CBS 121593, 73 nucleotides long. The record is from the annotation of a RefSeq genome assembly. Lineage: Eukaryota; Fungi; Ascomycota; Eurotiomycetes; Eurotiales; Aspergillaceae.
UCUCCUAUGUUUCAGUUGGUAAGGCUCAUGAUCAUCAAUCAUGAGCUUCGCGGUUCGAAUCCGCGUGGGGGUA